Long non-coding RNA from Oncorhynchus gorbuscha (pink salmon), 610 nucleotides. RefSeq lists it as uncharacterized. Lineage: Eukaryota; Metazoa; Chordata; Actinopteri; Salmoniformes; Salmonidae. The record is from RefSeq and is a predicted model, not a curated record. The transcript is spliced from 3 exons.
UAGCCAAGCAAUGUGUUGCUUGCUACAGUGGUUCUUCCUUUAAAUGUUUUGAGUUUAUGCCGCAACCGUUUGUGGUAGAUGGUGGCAGAUUAUGGUAAAUUGCGUCAUUCUGGCAACAAUGGCUGACACUUAAAUAAUGCGCAAUUGAAUUCUCUGGCACCCCACAAGCUGUGCUAUAGUACGUAACUUUUAAAGGAAUAACCACUGUAGCUAGCUAACCUAGCUAGCUUUAGUGAGGGUUGGGUGUCUCUGAUAGAACUGGCUAGCUAGCUAGCUAGAUUAUUUCUAGCAAAAUAUAAUCAAAAUGUUCCCUCCUGCAGUGGAUUGUUCUGGUCUGGCACCUCAGCUGCCGAUGGACAGACCCAGUCAACGGUAACUGUCAACUUGCGAGUCGGAAAAAUGAAUACUGGAGGUGAAGGAAUCUGCAUUAUGCGAGCUUCCAGUGACAAUUCAACAAUGGAUCAAGUUAUUUCAGCAACAAAAACAAGGAUUAUUGAAGCGCUCCUUGUCCAUCAUGCUAUUGUGAUUUUGUGCUGAACUUUGUAGUUUUAUGCAUUGUAUUUUAAUGUAGUCUAGCUACAGUAUGUAAGGUAAAAAGCUACAUUUUCCA